AACGUUCAAGCGGGAGAGACCGAGACGCACUCGGCGCCGAAGGAGCAACUGCCCCGGAAACUCUCAGGCAAAAGGACCGCUGGCGUGAA
RNAcentral lists this non-coding RNA (89 nucleotides) under Marinobacter sp. RNAcentral's name for it is "Glycine sequence". It matches the Rfam family "Glycine riboswitch aptamer". Rfam says of the family: This family represents the bacterial glycine riboswitch. Glycine riboswitches usually consist of two metabolite-binding aptamers domains with similar structures in tandem. Lineage: Bacteria; Pseudomonadati; Pseudomonadota; Gammaproteobacteria; Pseudomonadales; Marinobacteraceae. The record is from RNAcentral.